RNAcentral lists this ribosomal RNA (253 nucleotides) under uncultured bacterium. RNAcentral's name for it is "partial 16S ribosomal RNA". It matches the Rfam family "Bacterial small subunit ribosomal RNA", at positions 524 to 776 of the family's 1533-position model. The record is from RNAcentral.
UACGAAGGCCCCAAGCGUUAUCCGGAAUUAUUGGGCGUAAAGGGUGCGUAGGAGGUUAUAUAAGUCGUAUGUUAAAUCUUUCCGCUCAACGGAAAGGCCGCAUGCGAUACUGUAUGACUUGAGGACAUGAGAGGCUAGCGGAACGCACGGUGUAGGGGUGACAUCCGUUGAUAUCGUGCGGAACACCAAAGGCGAAGGCAGCUAGCUGGCGUGUACCUGACUCUGAUGCACGAAAGCGUGGGGAGCAAAAAGG